AAUAGAUACCCUGGUAGUCCACCCCGUAAACGUUGGGAACUAGUUGUGGGGUCCUUUCCACGGAUUCCGUGACGCAGCUAACGCAUUAAGUUCCCCGCCUGGGGAGUACGGCCGCAAGGCUAAAACUCAAAGGAAUUGACGGGGACCCGCACAAGCGGCGGAGCAUGCGGAUUAAUUCGAUGCAACGCGAAGAACCUUACCAAGGCUUGGCAUACACCAGAACACCCUAGAAAUAGGGGACUCUUUGGACACUGGUGAACAGGUGGUGCAUGGUUGUCGUCAGCUCGUGUCGUGAGAUGUUGGGUUAAGUCCCGCAACGAGCGCAACCCUCGUUCUAUGUUGCCAGCACGUAAUGGUGGGAACUCAUGGGAUACUGCCGGGGUCAACUCGGAGGAAGGUGGGGAUGACGUCAAAUCAUCAUGCCCCUUAUGUCUUGGGCUUCACGCAUGCUACAAUGGCCGGUACAAAGGGCUGCAAUACCGUGAGGUGGAGCGAAUCCCAAAAAGCCGGUCCCAGUUCGGAUUGAGGUCUGCAACUCGA
Molecule: ribosomal RNA, 540 nt
Filed under: uncultured bacterium
Lineage: Bacteria
Description: bacterial SSU rRNA
Rfam family: Bacterial small subunit ribosomal RNA
Source: RNAcentral